AUUGAACGCUGGCGGCAGGCCUAACACAUGCAAGUCGAGCGGACGGCGGACGGGUGAGUAAUGCCAAGGAAUCUGCCUGGUAGUGGGGGAUAACGUCAGGAAACGGACGCUAAUACCGCAUACCAUCGGAUGUGCCCAGAUGGGAUUAGCUUGUAGGUGAGGUAGCGUCUCACCUAGGCUACGAUCCCUAGCUGGUCCGAGAGGAUGACCAGCCACACUGGAACUGAGACACGGUCCAGACUCCUACGGGAGGCAGCAGUGGGGAAUGUUGCACAAUGGGCGAAAGCCUGAUGCAGCCAUGCCGCGUGUAUGAAGAAGGCCUUCGGGUUGUAAAGUACUUUCAGCGGAGAGGCGUUACCCGCAGAAGAAGCACCGGCUAACUCCGUGCCAGCAGCCGCGGUAAUAC
This 406-nucleotide ribosomal RNA is filed under the name uncultured bacterium. RNAcentral's name for it is "partial 16S ribosomal RNA". It matches the Rfam family "Bacterial small subunit ribosomal RNA", at positions 30 to 526 of the family's 1533-position model. The record is from RNAcentral.